RNAcentral lists this ribosomal RNA (254 nucleotides) under uncultured bacterium. RNAcentral's name for it is "partial 16S ribosomal RNA". It matches the Rfam family "Bacterial small subunit ribosomal RNA", at positions 524 to 776 of the family's 1533-position model. The record is from RNAcentral.
CACGUAGGGGGCAAGCGUUGCCCGGAUUCAUUGGGCGUAAAGAGCUCGUAGGCGGUUCGAUAAGUUGGGUGUGAAACCUCCAGGCUCAACCUGGAGACGCCACCCGAUACUGUCGUGACUAGAGUCCAGUAGGGGAGCGUGGAAUUCCUGGUGUAGCGGUGAAAUGCGCAGAUAUCAGGAGGAACACCAGCGGCGAAGGCGGCGCUCUGGGCUGGAACUGACGCUGAGGAGCGAAAGCGUGGGGAGCGAACAGG